This 942-nucleotide ribosomal RNA is filed under the name Triticum aestivum (bread wheat). Its description in RNAcentral is "partial small subunit ribosomal RNA". The record is from RNAcentral. Lineage: Eukaryota; Viridiplantae; Streptophyta; Magnoliopsida; Poales; Poaceae.
AUGCAGAUCUUUGUGAAGACCCUCGCCGACGAGACCAUCCUGGUCAACGCAGAUCUAUCGGACACAAUCUACAACGUCAAGACGAGGAUUGACGGCGAGCUUUGCGAUCCCCGGUCCCAGCAGUGCCUCAUGUUUGAUGGCAAGGAGCUGGAGGAUGGAUGCAUCAUAGCGGACUACAACAUUGAGGAGGAUUCGACCGUCCAGCUCGCCCUUCUCCCGAAGUGGCCACGGGAAGUGAUGCAAAUCUUUCUGAAGGCGCCCAACAUUCGGCUCCCCAUCGAGAAUUCAGAUACCGUUGACAUAUUUAGGGAGAAGCUCCAGGAAUUGAAGGGGAUUACCGCGUCCGAGCAGCGCAUCAUCUUCCGCGGAAGCCAGCUGAAGGAUGGUCUCACCCUAGCGGAUUGUGGCGUGGUGAAGAACUCGCUCCUCGAUGUGAUCCUCCGUCUGCGUGGUGGAUAUUUUUUGUUUUAUUUCUUGCUUACCGGCAAAAUCACUACCUAUGAUGUUGAGGACUCGAGUACCGUCGAAAGUGUAAAGGAAAUGAUCCACAAAAAGGAGGGUGCUCCCGUGGACGAACAAAGGUUGAUCUAUGGCGGGAAACAGCUAGUGGAUGGUCAGACCAUGGAGGACUGUGGUAUCCAGAAGUUGUCCACCAUUCGCCUGCUGCUCCGCCUCCGAUAGAAGAUCGAAAUCUUUCUCAAAGGGUUGAGUGGCAAGACCACUACCCAUUAUUUUGAGGAGCUGGACACCGUCGAUUGCGUCAAGGCCAUGAUCCAGGAGAGAGACGGCAUUCCCGCAGACGAACAGAGGCUCAUCCAUGCCGGGAAACAGCUGGAAGAUGGUCGCACCAUGGCGGACUAUGCCCUCAAGGACUACGCCACAAUGCACCUCCUGCUCCGUCUCCGAUCAUGCAGUCAAUGCCCAAGCGUGAGUAGUACCUAG